Molecule: ribosomal RNA, 203 nt
Filed under: uncultured bacterium
Lineage: Bacteria
Description: partial 16S ribosomal RNA
Rfam family: Bacterial small subunit ribosomal RNA
Source: RNAcentral
CACGGAUGGAACUGCGUUAUGAUUAAUAAAUAGGCAUUAAGCGUGAUUAGGUGGUUAUUUAUAACUAGAGUGAAAAAGGAAGAAUUAGGGGAAUAGCUAAAGGAAGGAUGAAAUCUAUAGAUAUUAGCUGGAACACCAACGGCGACAGCACCAUUCUACAAUUUCACUGACACUGAUUCACUAAAGUGUGGGGAGCGAAAUGG